This is a long non-coding RNA of Alexandromys fortis (reed vole), 1385 nucleotides long. RefSeq lists it as uncharacterized. Lineage: Eukaryota; Metazoa; Chordata; Mammalia; Rodentia; Cricetidae. The record is from RefSeq and is a predicted model, not a curated record. The transcript has 3 exons.
UUUUCCUAGGCAACGUCCUAACCUCUCAUGACUCUGGGAGGAUUUGGUGGGGGGGGGGGAGAGUUGCUGGCAAUGCACGCGAUGCAGGGAGAACCCUGACUAAAUCCUACUGUGACUUGAAUCUGAAUUAAACCUGGAUCGGGGCCCGCUAGCAUGAAUUGCUUCCUUCCGUUCAAGUACUCUUGGAGGAGGCUGACCUUUCCACCCCGCUGCUCACACUGCUGGUGUGUGGCCUGUCCAAGAGCUACGAGGUCGUGCCGCUGAGGGAUGUGUGGUCAAUGCCGACCGUCACUAACUGCCCACCCGAGUCACAGGGAUGUGACCAUGGCUCAGCAGGAAGAUUGCUUUUGCAAAUUUCUUCAUCAUGUGUUCUUAAAUGUCCUCCCCACAUCCUCGAAUGAGGCCGACAUUAUCUAUUGCUGACUGCCUGGAGACCGAAGCCAGAAACUGGGGAAGAGAGCGAGUUCUAAGUGUGUACUUUAUGUCUUAACUCAAUUCGUCCUGAGUCCUGAAGUUGUUUACUCUGGCCCAUUGUCAAGCCUUUGCAGCGGGGGAGAGCUGGUGGCGGAAGGGGUCACUCCCAAGGGUGCCAUGAGUCCUUUGCAGCGGACUCCUUCCAUGCUGCUGAAGAAUCACUCAGAGCUGAUUUUCCCCCUGGAAACCAAGAACGUUUUCUACACAAGCAUUUCUUUGUAAUCUCAGUUAGCUUUUUACGAUAAUUCCCGCUUCUAGUUUAAAGACUACAGAUGCUGUGUGGGUAGAGGGUGGGAAUGAGGGGAUAAAAGAAGGGAGGAUCUAGGUGUCUCUCACUUAGUAAAUGUGGUAAUGCUUUCUUCCAUGGACAAAGCACAUCAACUAAUAAGAAAUGCAGACCGUUUGUGGUACCACUGCAAAAGCUUGUAGCUGGCUUGAGGAGGCUUGACUAGAUGCCCUACUUUGCUCCUUCCCUCCCAAGGAGACCUGACCCUUUGCGAGGAGAUGAUCUGAACCGCAUCUUUAUGUUUGGGGACAUCACAAAUGUUAGGUACCUGAGCUCAGCCACUCAUCAAAUAUUACCUUGCUUUAUAAAAGAGACCAGAAACUCAAGUACCAUAGAAACAUUAGGACACACACACACAUCUCCUUAGUAGCUAAAUUGUUUUCUCCAGGGAAUGUCCCUAACCAACGGAAAAACACUUAUAUGUUCUUUGUAAGCCAUUUGCUAUUUAGUGUUGAUUUGAGGCCAUUUGCCUAUGCAUGGGUUUUCCUUAUCCCGGCCAGGUGAUGGUGGCGCAUGCCUUUACUCCCAGCACAUGGGAGACAGAGGCAGACAGAUCUCUGUGAGUUCAAGGUCAGCCUGGUCUACAAGAGCUAGUUCCAGGACAGGCUCCAAAGCUACAGAGAAA